RNAcentral lists this long non-coding RNA (546 nucleotides) under Coffea arabica (coffee). RNAcentral's name for it is "long non-coding RNA (CARA_LNC004558)". Lineage: Eukaryota; Viridiplantae; Streptophyta; Magnoliopsida; Gentianales; Rubiaceae. The record is from RNAcentral.
UAUCACAGAUGGAACAAUGAUAUGUAGAAGAAUCCCAUUUUUCUCAGCAGACAUUACAACAGCAAGAGUUAUCUGUAUAAGGUGGUGCUGUGUGGAGUGUGAGAGUGUGCUGAGCAUCGAUAGGGUGGUGUUCAAUCUCUAGUGGUUGUUCGGCGCAAGUUUUGUGAAGGAAGAAAUCACAAGGCUUGCAAAUGUAUGCAGGGCUAGCGGAGGUUGUUUUCCUGCACCCUAAACAGUUGCCUUCUUUUCCAUCCCCUUCUUCGCUCAGAGUUAAACUAUGUCCAUGGCUGAAAUGAUUAAAUUCCAUACUGUUGGAUAUUCUCACUCUGCAAUUUCUCUCUUUCAGUGGCAGCUACCAGGGGAAGGGACCAGGUUACAGCCCAUGAAAUAGUUGGGAAAAUACUUUGGAUUUGCCUCAAUAAAAGAAAAUCAGCAUAUAUGGAAACAGACAGAACAUUUAUUUUUUGAUAAACAUUCAUCUGGCCUUGCAAAUAACUGACACACUUCAGUUCAAAGAAAGUAGUCCUCUUUUAAAAGUUUGGUGCU